This is a long non-coding RNA of Vigna radiata var. radiata (mung bean), 673 nucleotides long. RefSeq lists it as uncharacterized. Lineage: Eukaryota; Viridiplantae; Streptophyta; Magnoliopsida; Fabales; Fabaceae. The transcript has 2 exons. The record is from RefSeq and is a predicted model, not a curated record.
UAGCUUGCCUUGCACGGAUCUAAGCUAUCUCCAUCUAUAAAAGAGAAGCUUAGAUCUCUUGUAAACCAACUUGAAUUGAAGUAAAGAAAUGCUGCCAAAUUUCAGCUUUCACUCUCAAGUUCACCUUUGUGCAGUGUUAUCUUGCACUUCCUCUAGCUCCUUUCCCUUAAGGAGAGCUUUCUGAGUUAGACUUCACUGCUCCAUCAUUGCCAAACUCCACCAGACCUUUCAUCAAACACUUUGACCACUUCAUCCGUCACCACUGUUUCAUCCAUCCGCUGCCGUCUUUGAAUCUGCGAAGCGUCUCCGGACAUGAAUUCGGUUGAGGCUUCCAUCAAGUGGUAUCCAGAGCCAACCGUUUCUCAUCCACGCAUCAAGAGCUAACUGGUUUGUGGUGCUGUUGUGGUGCAGUUUAACUCUCCAGAUUGUUCAUCCAACGGGGUAGCCUCUUAAGGAGUGGAAGGCUUGCUAACAAGGCGACAAUUGUGGACUUUGGGAGUAGNUGUAUACUGUUGUUCCAGAUUCAAUUGCAGCAGUAAAACCGUGACAUUCCAAACACCUUGAGCAGUUCUUUACAGCCACACUUGGCUUUAUUCACCCAUUGCUACAUUUCAUUGUAUAUUUGAUNUUGUAUCACGGAACCUUUGCGUAUUACAUUUCAUUCUUUUUGCAA